This 394-nucleotide transfer-messenger RNA is filed under the name Candidatus Omnitrophota bacterium. It matches the Rfam family "transfer-messenger RNA". Rfam says of the family: Bacterial tmRNA, also known as 10Sa RNA or SsrA, is named for its dual tRNA and mRNA-like properties. Its role is to liberate the mRNA from a stalled ribosome. Lineage: Bacteria; Pseudomonadati; Candidatus Omnitrophota. The record is from RNAcentral.
GGGGGUGAAAGGGUUCGACUUAAGUAUGUCGGAUAAAAGCAGCGUGCCGCGGACGCAGGGUUUACCGCGUAAAACAUCCUUGCACAAUCUAAACGCAAAACCAGUAAUGGUUAACCGUUUGGCACCAAUGGCAACAUUGAUGCCUGCGGGCGUCCCAGUCUUCGGCCUUAAUUAGGCUGAAGCCUCUCGUCAGGUAGCCUGUGACCUGGAUGAGAGCCUUAACAGGCUGGUCCUUUGACGCGCCUUACGGCAAAGGAUGAGAGUUUAAAAGGCUGCUACCUUAAGGAUUCUGUCAAGCGAAGCCUUAAGGUUUAAGACAAAUGAUUGACUACGCAUGUAGCGGCUUUUAUGCGAUUGCUUAGGGACGGCGGUUCAAUUCCGCCCACCUCCACCA